GAGAUGAGUGAAGGAACGCAUCAAGGCACUCUGAAGGAGUUCCAGGCUUCAGUGUGAUGAUGAUGGAGAGUAACAGCCUGGUCUGGACUCUUACUGUCCUGAUGAUAACUGUGAUGUUGUCUCCUGCUGAGGGAGAGGCUCCGUUUGCUGUGAACGUGACUCAGGAUGUGUACGAGGCAGAGGAGAACAGUAACGUCACUCUAACGUGGUUCUUCACUGUCAGCAGAGACACACAACCUCAAGACCUGGUUGU
Long non-coding RNA from Thalassophryne amazonica, 253 nucleotides. RefSeq lists it as uncharacterized. The transcript has 2 exons. NCBI's taxonomy places the organism in Eukaryota, Metazoa, Chordata, Actinopteri, Batrachoidiformes, Batrachoididae. The record is from RefSeq and is a predicted model, not a curated record.